UAAAUACAUAAAACACACAAGGACGAGGUAUCUUAUGAUCAUCCCUGAACGAUCGUCUACCGAACGAUCGUUCAGGGAUAUCAUUCGUAUGUCAUUGCCGUUCUUGGCAUCCAUCAUCAUUCAGCGAUCGUUGUCUAACGAUCGUCUGUCGCCUGCUCUUGGCAUCAAUCAUCAUUCAGCGAUCGUUGUCUAACGAUCGUCUGUUGCUUUGCUACUAAAGAACGUUCGGUCAAUUUUAGUCAAAAUUGACAUAUUAAUCCUAAGAAACUAAAGAACAAGCGGUUAGAAAUAUCUUCCCAUAAUGUCACAAAUCACGGAGUCAACUGACCUAGUAUCAAGCACGACAUAACGGUUGUGUUUUCCAGAUGGACAGGUUCUCCAACCAACCGAAUUUUUAGGUACCCAGCCCAUUUUUCCCCAAAGAGUUCUACGUAGGAGGAAGGCGUGAAGAUAAUUGCACUACUAGAAGGAGCAGAGGUACAUCAACAUUGUUGCUAUGCGAUUUCCCCCAUUUGCAGUGUACAAUUCAUCCCCAAAGAAGUCAGGAUGAGCUACAUACUCUUGUCCAACUUCGUAAUGCAGAAUUUGAAGUCCUUCACCGUUCUCUGCACAAGUGUAGUGUUUUUUUUUUUCGAUUAUUCGAUAAAAAUCUAUGUAUAAGAGACAACUCGAAGAUACCCAUAUUCUAAGAAAUCUGCUUUGCAAAAGUGGUAAAGAGAGAAAGAACAUACCAACAGAAAAGUGAAAAAGAAAGAACGAUAAGAGAAACAAGAGGAGGAAAGUAAUGGAGUUGAAUGAAGCAUGUAAAACAGGAGAAUGAAUACAUGUAGGAAGCGUUGCGAGCAAUGGAAUUGAGAUGAUUAUGUUCGAAUGGAGCAAAGGAAGUGUUGGUGUUGGGCAUUCGAAGGUGGAGAGCGAGGAGAAGGAGAAUCAGGAGAAACAUGAACAUCGUGAGCACUGAUAGAAGAAACAUCCACGACCACCUCGUCAUCCAUGAUUUUUGAACCCGAGAGUGCCUCGCUUUCACCAUUUGUGUUAAUU
RNAcentral lists this small RNA (1041 nucleotides) under Vigna angularis var. angularis. RNAcentral describes it as "Non-protein coding transcript". Lineage: Eukaryota; Viridiplantae; Streptophyta; Magnoliopsida; Fabales; Fabaceae. The record is from RNAcentral.